Long non-coding RNA from Sapajus apella (tufted capuchin), 1425 nucleotides. RefSeq lists it as uncharacterized. The record is from RefSeq and is a predicted model, not a curated record. The transcript has 2 exons. NCBI's taxonomy places the organism in Eukaryota, Metazoa, Chordata, Mammalia, Primates, Cebidae.
UAUCAAAAUUCAUUUAACAAACUGACAGUGACAUCCUAUCAAUUACUUCCCAAGUCUCCCUCAAAUCAAUUAGCUCUUCUUCAUUCUGUUUUUCUUCCUCCCAGAAUUUCCUUUCUGAAGUACAGUUCUGGUCCUAUUUUUUUUUUUUAUUUUUUAAAUUCACAGGUAUGCUCAUGGCUCACUGUAUCCCCAAAAUCCUGGGCUCAAGCAAUCCUCUCACCUCAGCCUCCCCAGUAUGGAGUGGACCACAGACACAUGCCACUAUUCCCUGCUUGGUCAUGUCAUUUAAAGUGACUCGACAUGGCCCAAAGAAUUCAGAUUUUUCCUUUUGAGAGAAUUACUGCAUAUCAUGAAACCUGCUUCAGGAUGACUGUUCUAUUAAAUGGAGCCCUCCAGACAAGAUCUCAGUAUUACCAGUGUUUGCAAAAUGUGCUGUGCUGAAAAGCUCUUUGUCAAAAUGAAACAGCACUGUGAGCUCCAGCUUUAGCCAGUUCCUCCUUCAACAAAAGAGGAUUGACAAGGCUUGGAUGUGAGGCCCUAGAGGGAUGUGAUUAUCACCUGCUUACUUUCCUGCCUUCCAACACUGUUUUAUUUAUUAACAUUUGGCACAGAGGAACAAACCUUGGUGUUUUGUUUUUCAAGGACCCAUCCUGACUUCACCACCCACAGCCUGUUUGAUUUGGGGAGAGUUCCCUGUUUGUCUGCUACGGAUUAUUUGUUCAUUUGCCUGAGCAGCGCUAUUAUUGCCACGUGCCAGCAGCCUGCUUGCUCCAAGGGUUUUAUCUGCAAGUUUAUGCAUACACUAUUUGCCAACUGUCCACCCUGAGAGUGAUUUCCAGGCUACUGAAGGGGAAAGGGAAGUUUAAGUACCUAUCUGUCAUUUGUUCUCAUGGGAAAAAUGACAAGACAUUUAUUGUCCAGAUAGAUGACCAAAUAAGCACAUCAGCACAAUUCAAUAAAAUAAAUUCCAGCCAGAACUGACUGUAAAUUUAAUAGAUCUUUUCAUACAUGGCAUGCAGAGAAAAAAAAAAUCCCUUCUGGUGCCAUUUAUAUAAUUAUCAGUCAUUGUUUCUCCUUCUACAGUAAUGUAUUUCUCUGUCUACUUUCUUAUAUGCACAAUUCUUAUAUAGUAAACACUCAUGAGAAAUGUGACUUUUUAACCAGGUGGAGACAGCAACAGCAGAGUGGACCUUAUUGUGUAUGCGCCAGCCAUUAAAUAGGGUUUUGAGCCACAUUUUUGUAAAACAUCCAGAGCAAAGAUCAUAUUGCAAGAUGUUUUUCAGAUAUUAUGAAAUUUAAUACAGAGUUGGCCUGAGUUGUUAUUUUUUUUUUUUUAGAUGGACUCUUGCUCUGUCGCCAGGCUGGAGUGUAGUGGCACAAUCUUGGCUCACUGCAACCUCCACUUCCCAGGUUCAAGCAAUUCUC